RNAcentral lists this transfer RNA (69 nucleotides) under Linepithema humile (Argentine ant). RNAcentral describes it as "tRNA-Pro". Lineage: Eukaryota; Metazoa; Arthropoda; Insecta; Hymenoptera; Formicidae. The record is from RNAcentral.
CAGAAAAUAGUUUUAAAUAAAAUAUUAAUUUUGGGGAUUAGAGAUAUAUAUAAAUUUAUAUUUUUCUGA